CCCCUAUGCACUAUGUUGAAUUUGACCCGUUUUCGUGGCCAAAACUCAUUUUUCGCAAGUAUUCAAAUUUCCGUUUUUUUAAUGUUACCAUGUUGAGAAAUGAUCAAAUCGCGAUAUUGUAUACCUAAAAUGUUAACUUAACAGUUUAAUACAAUACGUGCAGUGUUAAAUGUUAAAUUUGCGAUGCAAUUUCAAAUUGGCA
This is a long non-coding RNA of Drosophila sulfurigaster albostrigata, 202 nucleotides long. RefSeq lists it as uncharacterized. The record is from RefSeq and is a predicted model, not a curated record. Lineage: Eukaryota; Metazoa; Arthropoda; Insecta; Diptera; Drosophilidae. The transcript is spliced from 2 exons.